Cucurbita pepo subsp. pepo (vegetable marrow) is the source of this 73-nucleotide non-coding RNA. The record is from the annotation of a RefSeq genome assembly. Lineage: Eukaryota; Viridiplantae; Streptophyta; Magnoliopsida; Cucurbitales; Cucurbitaceae.
GCCAUCUUAGCUCAGUGGUAGAGCACGUGGCUUUUAACCACGUGGUCGUGGGUUUGAUUCCCCACAGAUGGCG